This 94-nucleotide transfer RNA is filed under the name Caldinitratiruptor microaerophilus. Its description in RNAcentral is "tRNA-Leu". Lineage: Bacteria; Bacillati; Bacillota; Clostridia; Eubacteriales; Symbiobacteriaceae. The record is from RNAcentral.
GCGCUACGUGGUGGAGGGUGCGACCGGACUCAAGGUGCGGUCGGUCCGGAUCAACGUCCAGGGGGUGCGGGUUCAGGGUCCCCCGUAGUUCCCC